GGUGAGUAAUGCGUAGGAAUCUGUCUUUUAGUGGGUUCCCACCCAGGGAAACAUAUGGGCUAAUACCGCAUGAGCCCUGAGGGGGAAAGCGGGGGAUCUUCGGACCUCGCGCUAAGAGAGGAGCCUACGUCCGAUUAGCUAGUUGGCGGGGUAAAGGCCCACCAAGGCGACGAUCGGAGUGGUCUGAGAGGACGACCAGCCACACUGGGACUGAGACACGGCCCAUACUCCUACGGGAGGCAGCAGUGGGGAAUUUUUCUUAAAUGGGGGCCAACCCUGGCCGCCGCCAAUGACACCGGGGAAUGAAGAA
This 310-nucleotide ribosomal RNA is filed under the name Acidithiobacillus ferrooxidans. RNAcentral's name for it is "bacterial SSU rRNA". It matches the Rfam family "Bacterial small subunit ribosomal RNA", at positions 105 to 412 of the family's 1533-position model. The record is from RNAcentral. Lineage: Bacteria; Pseudomonadati; Pseudomonadota; Acidithiobacillia; Acidithiobacillales; Acidithiobacillaceae.